AACUUUUAACAACGGAUCUCUUGGUUCUCGCAUCGAUGAAGAACGUAGCAAAGUGCGAUAACUAGUGUGAAUUGCAUAUUCAGUGAAUCAUCGAGUCUUUGAACGCAACUUGCGCUCAUUGGUAUUCCAAUGAGCACGCCUGUUUCAGUAUCA
Molecule: ribosomal RNA, 153 nt
Filed under: Mucor racemosus
Lineage: Eukaryota; Fungi; Mucoromycota; Mucoromycetes; Mucorales; Mucoraceae
Also listed under: 2 other names
Description: 5.8S ribosomal RNA
Rfam family: 5.8S ribosomal RNA
About the family: 5.8S ribosomal RNA (5.8S rRNA) is a component of the large subunit of the eukaryotic ribosome. It is transcribed by RNA polymerase I as part of the 45S precursor that also contains 18S and 28S rRNA. Functionally, it is thought that 5.8S rRNA may be involved in ribosome translocation.
Source: RNAcentral